GGAUCAUUUAAGACAGAUAGAUAUAUGCUCCCUUCCAUUCAGGGAAAGUCAUUUGGAUAAGGUGCUUUUUGGAGGCUUUUUUGAUGAAAAUGUGAAGAGAGCAGGGAAUGGGGAAUUGUUAUUUAAUGGAGUGAGUUACAGUUUGAGAAAAUGAAAAAGUUCUGAAGGAAGGCGACACACUCCCUCUGCAUUUUCUCAUUGUGCCGUUAUCAUCUUACCUGGGUCUAUCAGCUGGUGCCUGGGCAAGCAACAGAUGACUCUGACGUUACUAGAAGACAAAGAGAGCUUUAGCUAUAGGAGAGAGACAACCAACAGACUAGAAAAAUGAACUAAAGAACUUCAGAACAUAGAGUCCCUGAACAGUUUGGUUAUGCUACCAUGAUUCAGCUUCAAAAGAGCGUCCAAAACAGAAUCCUACCUG
RNAcentral lists this long non-coding RNA (421 nucleotides) under Pan troglodytes (chimpanzee). Its description in RNAcentral is "long non-coding RNA NONPTRT011100". Lineage: Eukaryota; Metazoa; Chordata; Mammalia; Primates; Hominidae. The record is from RNAcentral.